Thalassophryne amazonica is the source of this 114-nucleotide small nucleolar RNA. RefSeq annotates it as small nucleolar RNA SNORA70. The transcript has a single exon. NCBI's taxonomy places the organism in Eukaryota, Metazoa, Chordata, Actinopteri, Batrachoidiformes, Batrachoididae. The record is from RefSeq and is a predicted model, not a curated record.
CUGCAGGUUAUUAAGCUGACUGGUCUCGCUACAGUGCGGUUCUGGUGUGCAAAACCUGCAGACAGUGACUCUUUGGUUGUGUAUGUUCUCAACUGGGAGGUGCUGUAUACACCC